This 161-nucleotide small nuclear RNA is filed under the name Sorex araneus (European shrew). Its description in RNAcentral is "U1 spliceosomal RNA (ENSSARG00000014767.1)". It matches the Rfam family "U1 spliceosomal RNA". From Rfam's summary of the family: U1 is a small nuclear RNA (snRNA) component of the spliceosome (involved in pre-mRNA splicing). Lineage: Eukaryota; Metazoa; Chordata; Mammalia; Eulipotyphla; Soricidae. The record is from RNAcentral.
GGGCUGACCUGGCUGAGAAGAGCCCGAGAUCAUGAAGGUGGUUUGCCCAGGGUGAGGCUUAGCCUUUGUACACUGGUGGGCUGACACCUGUGAUUUCCCCAAAUGUGGGAAACUUGAUGGCCCGAUUUAUGGGAGUGGGGACUGUGUUGGGACUCUCCCCU